Lolium perenne is the source of this 1417-nucleotide RNA transcript. It is a transcript of the gene named transcription factor TGAL4-like, with no coding region annotated. NCBI's taxonomy places the organism in Eukaryota, Viridiplantae, Streptophyta, Magnoliopsida, Poales, Poaceae. The record is from RefSeq and is a predicted model, not a curated record.
CCUCCGUCCCAGGGAAAGUGUCGGUCGGUCCUUUUUUCAAAAAGCUCCUCCGCAAAUUCCCGACAAACAAGUGGGUAUUGCUUCCUGUCCGCAGCGCCGCUCCCUUCCUGACCCCGACGCCGUCGCCGCUCCCUUGCUGACCCCAACGCCGUCGCCGGCGCCGCUCCCUCGCUGGCCUCGCACCUCCUCUGCCCCCCACAGCCACCGCCGCUCCCUCCCGUAGCCCCGCAUCCAAGCGCAGGUCAACCGGUCGCGCAUAGGCGGCAAGGGCUCGCUCAAGGGCCGCCGCUCUCUCGCUGGCCACCACCGUCUCCGUCGAGGCCGCCGAGCUCUGGCGCCGCGUCGAAGACAGCUUCAACUCGCUCACCCGCGACGAGCUCCUCUCCCGCAUCCACUGUCGGUACCUCCCGCAGCCCUGUAGUCUCCAUUUCGGUGGAGCUGAAAAUUGGAGUUUUUCGACGGAUCCGCGUCGUAGUUCCCACCAGCGGCGAGAAGAGGAGGUAGAAGCGACGGAUUUGAAUGCAGGGUCUGCGCUCCCCCACCGCCGAGCUCUGAUUUUUCCUCUACGCACCGGAUUUGAAGGCAUAGUCUGCGCUCCCCCAAUGCGUCGACCUCCAAACCCAAAGCAAAUGGUUGGCAUCUGUGGCGUCGAGAAGUCGUUGCAGGCAGAAGAAGCUCUCACCCAGGGCAGCGGGUGUCUUGCCGAUGACGCAAACAUUGGGAGCUUCGUGGCCAUUGCACUCGGCAAGCUGUCCAGCCUUGAAGGUUUUGUCAUACAGGUGCUCUCGUAUCAGUAAGGGAUUGUAGAGACCUGAACAAGGCUAGGUCAAGAACAUUUAAGUCCGGGCUGUUCGGAGGUUGUUGGAUCAACUGAAUGUCUAGGUCAGUCUGUGCUACUGCCUGUCGGAAACCAUCAUCAUGAGGGAGGAGGAAAAUGAAGCGACGUCUGCAUCAGUUUGUGAACCAAGCAAGAGAUGGGUGGAGAUCAAGUGUAAGUAUGAUGCCUGAGCAAUACAUUUCAUCUUCACCAAUUCCUUUUCUGAUUGCUUCUUCGGGGACAUAUGUUACAACUACAUCGGGGACAUAUUUCGCUUCUGUCGGUAGUGGACUACAUCAGGGAAAUCCUGAACUACAGUACCUUCUUCAGGUAACAGUUCAGGGACGAGGACGGCAAGCUCGUUCAGGAGAGGACGGCGAGCUUGUUCAAGGGGAGGACUGUUGCCCAGGGAGCAGAGGAUCUUGCCCAGGGAGCAGAGGAUCUCGCCGUCACAUCAGCCAUCGAGGACAAUGACGAGGUCGGCGGUAUGGCCGCGACUAGGCCAGCGACGAUCGCGAGGAGCAGCGGCGCAACCGGGAUGCAGCGGCGCAACGGAGGACCAGCAGCGCCACAGGAGGAGCUCGUGGUCGACGACGUGGU